UGAAAUGAUAGAGUCAAGUGAAUAAGUGCAUCAGGCGGAUGCCUUGGCGAUGAUAGGCGACGAAGGACGUGUAAGCCUGCGAAAAGCGCGGGGGAGCUGGCAAUAAAGCAAUGAUCCCGCGGUGUCCGAAUGGGGAAACCCACUGCAUUCUGUGCAGUAUCCUAAGUUGAAUACAUAGGCUUAGAGAAGCGAACCCGGAGAACUGAACCAUCUAAGUACCCGGAGGAAAAGAAAUCAACCGAGAUUCCGCAAGUAGUGGCGAGCGAACGCGGAGGAGCCUGUACGUAAUAACUGUCGAGGUAGAAGAACAAGCUGGGAAGCUUGACCAUAGCGGGUGACAGUCCCGUAUUCGAAAUCUCAACAGCGGUACUAAGCGUACGAAAAGUAGGGCGGGACACGUGAAAUCCUGUCUGAAUAUGGGGGGACCAUCCUCCAAGGCUAAAUACUCAUCAUCGACCGAUAGUGAACCAGUACCGUGAGGGAAAGGCGAAAAGAACCCCGGGAGGGGAGUGAAACAGAACCUGAAACCUGAUGCAUACAAACAGUGGGAGCGCCCUAGUGGUGUGACUGCGUACCUUUUGUAUAAUGGGUCAACGACUUACAUUCAGUAGCGAGCUUAACCGGAUAGGGGAGGCGUAGGGAAACCGAGUCUUAAUAGGGCGAUGAGUUGCUGGGUGUAGACCCGAAACCGAGUGAUCUAUCCAUGGCCAGGUUGAAGGUGCCGUAACAGGUACUGGAGGACCGAACCCACGCAUGUUGCAAAAUGCGGGGAUGAGCUGUGGGUAGGGGUGAAAGGCUAAACAAACUCGGAGAUAGCUGGUUCUCCCCGAAAACUAUUUAGGUAGUGCCUCGAGCAAGACACUGAUGGGGGUAAAGCACUGUUAUGGCUAGGGGGUUAUUGCAACUUACCAACCCAUGGCAAACUCAGAAUACCAUCAAGUGGUUCCUCGGGAGACAGACAGCGGGUGCUAACGUCCGUUGUCAAGAGGGAAACAACCCAGACCGCCGGCUAAGGUCCCAAAUGAUAGAUUAAGUGGUAAACGAAGUGGGAAGGCACAGACAGCCAGGAUGUUGGCUUAGAAGCAGCCAUCAUUUAAAGAAAGCGUAAUAGCUCACUGGUCGAGUCGUCCUGCGCGGAAGAUGUAACGGGGCUCAAAUCUAUAACCGAAGCUGCGGAUGCCGGUUUACCGGCAUGGUAGGGGAGCGUUCUGUAGGCUGAUGAAGGUGCAUUGUAAAGUGUGCUGGAGGUAUCAGAAGUGCGAAUGUUGACAUGAGUAGCGAUAAAGCGGGUGAAAAGCCCGCUCGCCGAAAGCCCAAGGUUUCCUACGCAACGUUCAUCGGCGUAGGGUGAGUCGGCCCCUAAGGCGAGGCAGAAAUGCGUAGUCGAUGGGAAACAGGUUAAUAUUCCUGUACUUGAUUCAAAUGCGAUGUGGGGACGGAGAAGGUUAGGUUGGCAAGCUGUUGGAAUAGCUUGUUUAAGCCGGUAGGUGGAAGACUUAGGCAAAUCCGGGUUUUCUUAACACCGAAGAAGUGAUGACGAGUGUUUACGGACACGAAGCAACCGAUACCACGCUUCCAGGAAAAGCCACUAAGCUUCAGUUUGAAUCGAACCGUACCGCAAACCGACACAGGUGGGCAGGAUGAGAAUUCUAAGGCGCUUGAGAGAACUCGGGAGAAGGAACUCGGCAAAUUGAUACCGUAACUUCGGGAGAAGGUAUGCCCUCUAAGGUUAAGGACUUGCUCCGUAAGCCCCGGAGGGUCGCAGAGAAUAGGUGGCUGCGACUUGUUUAUUAAAAACACGAGCACUCUUGCCAACACGAAAGUGGACGUAUAGGGUGUAACGCCUGCCCGGUGCCGGAAGGUUAAUUGAAGAUGUGCAAGCAUCGGAUCGAAGCCCCGGUAAACGGCGGCCGUAACUAUAACGGUCCUAAGGUAGCGAAAUUCCUUGUCGGGUAAGUUCCGACCCGCACGAAUGGCGUAACGAUGGCCACACUGUCUCCUCCCGAGACUCAGCGAAGUUGAAGUGGUUGUGAAGAUGCAAUCUACCCGCUGCUAGACGGAAAGACCCCGUGAACCUUUACUGUAGCUUUGCAUUGGACUUUGAAGUCACUUGUGUAGGAUAGGUGGAAGGCUUGGAAGCAAAGACGCCAGUCUCUGUGGAGUCGUCCUUGAAAAUACCACCCUGGUGUCUUUGAGGUUCUAACCCAGACCCGUCAUCCGGGUCGGGGACCGUGCAUGGUAGGCAGUUUGACUGGGGCGGUCUCCUCCCAAAGCGUAACGGAGGAGUUCGAAGGUUACCUAGGUCCGGUCGGAAAUCGGACUGAUAGUGCAAUGGCAAAAGGUAGCUUAACUGCGAGACCGACAAGUCGGGCAGGUGCGAAAGCAGGACAUAGUGAUCCGGUGGUUCUGUAUGGAAGGGCCAUCGCUCAACGGAUAAAAGGUACUCCGGGGAUAACAGGCUUGAUUCCGCCCAAGAGUUCAUAUCGACGGCGGAGUUUGGCACCUCGAUGUCGGCUCAUCACAUCCUGGGGCUGUAGUCGGUCCCAAGGGUAUGGCUGUUCGCCAUUUUAAAGUGGUACGUGAGUUGGGUUUAAAACGUCGUGAGACAGUUUGGUCCCUAUCUGCAGUGGGCGUUGGAAGUUUGACGGGGGCUGCUCCUAGUACGAGAGGACCGGAGUGGACGAACCUCUGGUGUACCGGUUGUAACGCCAGUUGCAUAGCCGGGUAGCUAAGUUCGGAAGAGAUAAGCGCUGAAAGCAUCUAAGCGCGAAACUCGCCUGAAGAUGAGACUUCCCUUGCGGUUUAACCGCACUAAAGGGUCGUUCGAGACCAGGACGUUGAUAGGUGGGGUGUGGAAGCGCGGUAACGCGUGAAGCUAACCCAUACUAAUUGCCCGUGAGGCUUGACUCU
This 2910-nucleotide ribosomal RNA is filed under the name Neisseria gonorrhoeae. Its description in RNAcentral is "23S ribosomal RNA". It matches the Rfam family "Bacterial large subunit ribosomal RNA". The record is from RNAcentral. Lineage: Bacteria; Pseudomonadati; Pseudomonadota; Betaproteobacteria; Neisseriales; Neisseriaceae.